Molecule: ribosomal RNA, 468 nt
Filed under: uncultured bacterium
Lineage: Bacteria
Description: partial 16S ribosomal RNA
Rfam family: Bacterial small subunit ribosomal RNA
Source: RNAcentral
GACGAACGCUGGCGGCGUGCUUAACACAUGCAAGUCGAACGGAAAGGCCCUGCUUUUGUGGGGUUCUCGAUUGGCGAACGGGUGAGUAACACGUGAGUAACCUGCCCUUGACUUUGGGAUAACUUCAGGAAACUGAGGCUAAUACCGGAUAGGAUCUCCUGCUGCAUGGUGUGGGUUGGAAAGUUUCGGCUGUUGGGGCUGGACUCGCGGCUUAUCAGCUUGUUGGUGGGGUAGUUGCUUACCAAGGCUUUGACGGUUAGCCGGCCUGAGAGGGUGACCGGCUACAUUGGGACUGAGGUACGGACCAGACUCGUACGGGAGGCAGCAGUGGAGAAUAUUGCACAAUGAGCCGAAGUCUGAUGCAGAAACGUCGCGUGCGGAAUGACGGCCUUCGGGUUGUAAACAGCUUUCGCCUGUGACGAAGCGUGAGUGACGGUAAUGGGUAAAGAAGCACCGGCUAACUACGUG